AGGGCAAUAGCUGGGGCAAAUGGUGGAUCCAUUCCCAGCUUUCCCAGGAAUCUCCAUACUGCUUUCCAAAUUGGCUGCACCAAUUUGCAGUCCCACCAGCAAU
Molecule: microRNA precursor, 103 nt
Filed under: Marmota monax (woodchuck)
Lineage: Eukaryota; Metazoa; Chordata; Mammalia; Rodentia; Sciuridae
Source: RNAcentral